This is a long non-coding RNA of Vigna unguiculata (cowpea), 959 nucleotides long. NCBI's taxonomy places the organism in Eukaryota, Viridiplantae, Streptophyta, Magnoliopsida, Fabales, Fabaceae. The record is from RefSeq and is a predicted model, not a curated record.
UUUUAAUUAAUGUUGUUAAUAUUAUUUUUCUGUGAAUGUCAAUUAUAUUACUUCUAUUUAUAUUUGUUGUGAUUAUUCUUUUAUUGCAUUUUUUUUUAUUAAUGACACUUUGUUAUUUGUUAUUUUUAUUAAUAGGUUGUUUGAAUACUUUUUAAAUAUUGAUUGGGAAAACUUUGGGUGAUAAUGAAUAGGGUAUUUUUUUUUUUGUUAUUUAGGGAAAAAUUUCUAUCUAAAUUGAUGGAAAAAUUAAUAUAAUGGUUAACUAUAUGUUUUUUGUUUUAGUCUCUUCUUCAAAAGUUUUCAAAAGUUUGAUUGUCUUAGGUUUCCAUACCUGAGAAAUGUAAGUAUUUAAUCCUCAAUACCUGUUAAUUUUUUUUACGUGGCAAACACUAUGUCACGUCACCCUUAUGUUAUUAGACACAUAUCUAGUUUUAGUUACAUGUGUUAAUUGAAGAAUAGAAGAGAAGUUUAGAGUCUAAAUAAUUGAAUUUUUAGUUCUAUAAUUUUUAUUGGAAAUCCAAUGUUUGAAAAUAUGUGUUGAAAUUGAAAUUGAAUUGAAGAAAAAUAAGAACAUUGAAGGAUUGUUGAACGAAGAAGGGAAAAUUGUGCUUUGAAUCAAAGUUGAAGGAUACAAAAGCAAGGAUUUUCAUUGAAGGUCGCGAAAUUACAGAAAGGGAAAUUACGUGUGUUUGCUUUACAAGUCAGGGGAAGUUUGUAAAGAAUAAAAGGUUGCAUUACCUGGGUGGGGAAAAACGUGGUUAGAGGAGUUGAUCUUGUUUUGAAGCAUUGGAUAUACUAAGAGACUUCAAAUAUGUCGUGGAUGUUAAACUUUAGUGGAAGCCGAGAAAAGAAAGCUUGGAUAAGAAUUUGAACUAUUGAGUGUGGAUAUGCAAUAGAGUUAGCUAGCUAGAGAGAGGCUCAUCAAGAAGUUGAAAUAUAUAUUGAGCAUAUUCUUAGUA